AAGACCUUGCACUUUUGGAGCGGCCGAUGUCUGAUUAGCUAGUUGGUGGGGUAAUGGCCUACCAAAGCUUCGAUCAGUAGCUGGUCUGAGAGGACGGCCAGCCACACUGGGACUGAGACACGGCCCAGACUCCUAUGGGAGGCAGCAGUGGGGAAUUUUGGACAAUGGGCGCAAGCCUGAUCCAGCCAUGCCGCGUGAGUGAAGAAGGCCUUCGGGUUGUAAAGCUCUUUCAGCCGGGAAGAAAAGGUUGCGAUUAAUAAUCGCAAUUUAUGACGGUACCGGAAGAAGAAGCACCGGCUAACUACGUGCCAGCAGCCGCGGUAAUACGUAGGGUGCGAGCGUUAAUCGGAAUUACUGGGCGUAAAGGGUGCGCAGGCGGUUUUGUAAGUCAGAUGUGAAAUCCCCGGGCUUAACCUGGGAACU
Molecule: ribosomal RNA, 423 nt
Filed under: uncultured bacterium
Lineage: Bacteria
Description: bacterial SSU rRNA
Rfam family: Bacterial small subunit ribosomal RNA
Source: RNAcentral